AUGGGUAUGCAGGCUCUGAUGAAUGUCCGGUGCACGAAUCUUGUCAACCCUGUAUGCGACUGGCUUGGUGAGAUUUACGACCCCGCCUCCAGGGAAUUUGUUAUUCCAGGACGUGGAAGACUGCCAUUGAACGAGGAAUCCGUGUUCUGCACUUUGGGUGUGCCUCGUGGACAAAUCAAAUUCCCGUACGAGACCAUGACAACCCAUGGCGAGGUUUUUAAGAUGAAGCUAAUCAUGUACCUCAUCUCAGCUGUUUUCGCACCGACCACUUCUCUUCGCCCAAGCAACAAAUGCUUCCCCAUCCUGGCGAAAUUGAAAGAUGUGAAGAACAUGAAUUGGUGUAAGUUUAUUGCCGACUUCCUGCACGAUGCAUUCUCAAGCAAGAUGUACCAGAAGGGUUGUCGACUGCAUUUAAUGCUCAUGUACGUCGACUGUCUUGAUCUGUCCAUUGUGGAUUUCACUGGGAUAGGAGGCCCGCCUCCUACACACAAGUUUGUUGUUUCUGCGUGGACUAUCGAUGUUGUCAAGGUUGUGCUUGCUGCAGACAAGGUAACUGAUACCAAAUAUGGAAAACUGCAGCUGAUGGCCAAGCACACUAUAGACUACAAUGUGUUUGGGGGGCCUCAAAACUUUGGAAAGUGGAUGGACGUGCACUCAGCUCCGUCUUGCCCCUACUGA
Molecule: ribosomal RNA, 678 nt
Filed under: Triticum aestivum (bread wheat)
Lineage: Eukaryota; Viridiplantae; Streptophyta; Magnoliopsida; Poales; Poaceae
Description: partial small subunit ribosomal RNA
Source: RNAcentral